CCCCAUAUGUCUAGCGGUAAGGAUUCCUGGCUUUCAUCCGGGCGGCCCGGGUUCGACUCCCGGUAUGGAUU
Molecule: transfer RNA, 71 nt
Filed under: Astyanax mexicanus (Mexican tetra)
Lineage: Eukaryota; Metazoa; Chordata; Actinopteri; Characiformes; Acestrorhamphidae
Rfam family: tRNA
About the family: Transfer RNA (tRNA) molecules are approximately 80 nucleotides in length.
Source: Rfam by way of RNAcentral